This is a long non-coding RNA of Actinia tenebrosa (Australian red waratah sea anemone), 622 nucleotides long. Lineage: Eukaryota; Metazoa; Cnidaria; Anthozoa; Actiniaria; Actiniidae. The record is from RefSeq and is a predicted model, not a curated record.
UGUUUGUGUAAGGAAAGGUAUUGUUCUUGGUUGAUCUAUCUAGCGCGCGCAAUCCAUCAUGUGACAGGCGUUCCUCGUAGUGUUUUGGUUUCGGCCGAUCCGAAUGGCCUACGAUCGUGACGAUCGUGUAAGGAAGGGAAUGACGAGUGUAAUAGGAGGGGAGUGAAACGGUGGAAAUUUUAUCGUCCUAUGCUCGUAGCAGAUUGCUAUGCACACAGGCGGUUGCUAUGCACAUUGAUGGCUGGAUUACACGAUCAAGUUAGAACAAUAAUCACUAGUUUAUUUUCCGUAUCUAAUGGGGAAGCCGAUCAAAACUACGGAGGCAUAUUAAGUUUACAAGACCGAGUGUAACGAAAAAGGGCUAAAGCCAUGUGAUCAGGCAAACUUUUCAGCAGUAGGAUUAUUCUUGAUUAUGUUCACCAGUUCGUGAGCCGAUUUUUUUCCUAUCACGCCGGCGAACUGAUGAAUGUAUUGUCGAUCCUCAUAUAUUUUGAGGCGCAAUGCCCGUUGAUGAGGUGAUAAAAACAAUGCUUGCUCCCUUUGUCAACUCCUUUUAAAUAUAUCUAAUUAAAAAUGAUUUUCCGCUUCCAGCUAUUCCACUAAUGAACACACUAAAACCUUU